RNAcentral lists this ribosomal RNA (274 nucleotides) under uncultured bacterium. RNAcentral's name for it is "partial 16S ribosomal RNA". It matches the Rfam family "Bacterial small subunit ribosomal RNA", at positions 523 to 796 of the family's 1533-position model. The record is from RNAcentral.
AUACGGAGGGUGCAAGCGUUAUUCGGAACCACUGGGCGUAAAGGACGCGUAGGCGGGUUGGCAAGUCAGAUGUGAAAUCCUACAGCUUAACUGUAGAACUGCAUUUGAAACUGCUAACCUAGAGUAUGGGAGGGGGAGAUGGAAUUAGUGGUGUAGGGGUAAAAUCCGUAGAUAUCACUAGGAAUACCGAAAGCGAAGGCGAUCUCCUGGAACAUAACUGACGCUAAGGCGUGAAAGCGUGGGGAGCAAACAGGAUUAGAAACCCUAGUAGUCC